CCCUUAGAUGUUCUGGGCCGCACGCGCGCUACACUGACUGGUUCAUCGAGUAUACAACCUUGACUGAUAGAUCUGGGUAAUCUUCUCAAAGCCAGUCGUGCUGGGGAUAGAUUAUUGUAAUUUUUAAUCUUCAACGAGGAAUUCCCAGUAAACGCGAGUCAUCAACUCGCAUUGAUUACGUCCCUGCCCUUUGUACACACCGCCCGUCGCUACUACCGAUUGAAUGGCUUAGUGAGCUUUCUGGACUGUUGCACUUCGUUGGAAACUUCGUUGUGCAUACGGGAAGGAAAUCAAACUUGAUCAUUUAGAGGAAGUAAAAGUCGUAACA
This 328-nucleotide ribosomal RNA is filed under the name uncultured eukaryote. RNAcentral's name for it is "partial 18S ribosomal RNA". It matches the Rfam family "Eukaryotic small subunit ribosomal RNA", at positions 1470 to 1796 of the family's 1831-position model. The record is from RNAcentral.